CUCAGAUUGGGAAUGUUUUUUUUUACUCCGCCCGGGCCUGGCGUAUUUUUCUUUUUAAUAACGCAGGUUAGAAUACGGGACAUUUACGAGAAAAUACUAAUACGGGAGGACGGCGGGAAAGAAGGGUAAAAUACGGGUCUUUCCCGGCCAAAACGGGAUACUUGACAGGUAUGAGACUGAGGCAAACGCAGAGUAAAAUUGGUGUCUUUAAUGACAACAAAAGGAAAACAAAAACCGAGUGCCGUGCACUACAAAAUAUAACAAGGCGAUACAGAACAUGAAAUAAACACUGGAACAUGACAUACAACACAAUGAGUGACCAGGACAGAGAGAAAAUGGGACCGUUACAAAGUUCCUCUUCAAUGAAAGGUGAGUGUAUGCAGAUUUACAGUGUGCCAACUUACAACGGAUUCUCUCCAAAACCGAAUAAAGACGCUCUGAGGAUCCUAUCUUCAGAAGGAAAAUGCAUGCAGGCUAUUGCACAACGCAAGCUGCUUGAAGAGGUUGGGCAGUUUUGGCUUCCCAUUUUGAGCAGGCCAAGACCGGACACGCUCCACUGAUAUGCCAAAUAACUGUGUUCAUUUCAGAAUCUCUCAAAAGCUUGACAAAUUCAGAAUUUCGAUUCUUGCAUAUUUAGCAAUUGCCAAAUACGAUCAGUGAUUUUUUUUUUAAUGGUUACAUUGAGCUAUUUUAGCUAAUUCUUUUCUUAAUGCUCAGCCAUGUUUAUUUACAUUGCCCUGGAUUCUGGGAUUGGUAGACAUCUGACUAAAGAUUCGCAAAUCUGUACAGAAGACAAGCAAAUGUAAAUUACCAUCUGAUCUCAGAGACUCAUAACCUUUAUCUUUGGUUGAUUCGGAUAAACAAACAUGGCAGCACCCCCAAACAUACAUCUACUGUACCUUUGGGUUACUUAACUUCUAGAAAGUUUUUACACCAUGAUUUUGAUCAGUAGUCCGCUCUCCUGGGAUAUGGUGAUUUGUUCUAGUCACUAAUAUCAUUAAUUUUUGUGUCAGAGAUAUGACUGCUUGUGUAGGUACAUAAGUGACCUUUCAUGUCCUGAUUUGAACAAUUGCUUUCUCUGUUAUUGUUUGAAAAUCUACACCAUAAAAUGUAUGACAUUGAGGAAAAAGGUUAUAAACACUGUUUGAGAUAAAGUGUUUGUAAGUAAAUAAAAGUGUAGUCUGACCAGUGAUUGUUGCGUCACUUAUACUUCGACG
This is a long non-coding RNA of Esox lucius (northern pike), 1217 nucleotides long. The record is from Ensembl. Lineage: Eukaryota; Metazoa; Chordata; Actinopteri; Esociformes; Esocidae.